UCCCUGGUGGCCUAGUGGUUAAGGAUUCAGCACUGUCACUUCUGUGGCCCCGGGUUUGAUCCCUGGCCUGGGAA
Molecule: non-coding RNA, 74 nt
Organism: Sus scrofa (pig)
Lineage: Eukaryota; Metazoa; Chordata; Mammalia; Artiodactyla; Suidae
Source: Rfam